GGUCAUGUGGCCUAGUGGUCAUGGCAUCUGCCCGGUAAGCGGAAGGUCGUGGGUUCGAUUCCCAUCCCUUGACACCCU
Cordylochernes scorpioides is the source of this 78-nucleotide non-coding RNA. Lineage: Eukaryota; Metazoa; Arthropoda; Arachnida; Pseudoscorpiones; Chernetidae. The record is from the annotation of a GenBank genome assembly.